RNAcentral lists this ribosomal RNA (267 nucleotides) under uncultured bacterium. RNAcentral describes it as "partial 16S ribosomal RNA". It matches the Rfam family "Bacterial small subunit ribosomal RNA", at positions 88 to 354 of the family's 1533-position model. The record is from RNAcentral.
CCGGCGACCGGCGCACGGGUGAGUAACACGUAUGCAACCUGGCCGUGACAGAUGGAUAACCGGGAGAAAUCCCGCCUAAUACAACAUAAUGCCGGGAGGGGACAUCCCCUGCCGGCCAAAGGGGCGACCCGGUCACGGAUGGGCAUGCGGCGCAUUAGGUAGUUGGUGGGCAACGGCCCACCAAGCCGACGAUGCGUAGGGGUUCUGAGAGGAAGGUCCCCCACAUUGGAACUGAGACACGGUCCAAACUCCUACGGGAGGCAGCAG